This 425-nucleotide long non-coding RNA is filed under the name Amborella trichopoda. RNAcentral's name for it is "long non-coding RNA (ATRI_LNC004809)". Lineage: Eukaryota; Viridiplantae; Streptophyta; Magnoliopsida; Amborellales; Amborellaceae. The record is from RNAcentral.
AAGAAGCUUAGAUGAUUUCUAUAAGAGGGGAUCAGGCAUGAUACUCAUCUUUUUUAAAGUCAUCUUUAUGAGAGUUAUAGAAAGGGAUCUCCAAUAUAGAGAUGGGUUCCAAAGAGAAAGACAGACAUGGCCUUUAAGAAAAAAGCGGUAUUUUUAUGAGUUUUGAAUUGGUUAAAGUUUCACUUUUAUAGAGAGAAAGUCUCUCGGUUGCCCUCGAAGUUAUCUUUCCAGUAGCAGUAAUGUGGUGGGAAAGAUGAUGUUGAUCGACAGUGUUGUUUGGCCGAAAGAGCGGGUUUAGAAGAAAAUAUUGAUGACGGUCUUUUACAGAUGUUUAAGAACAUAUAUUAUCUCUUGUAACCCAAAACUGUAAUCUUUAUUGUAAUAAUGGAUUUCUAGUGGUCGAGGCCCUGGAUGUAGGCGUACAG